Long non-coding RNA from Canis lupus familiaris (dog), 695 nucleotides. RefSeq lists it as uncharacterized. The transcript has 8 exons. Lineage: Eukaryota; Metazoa; Chordata; Mammalia; Carnivora; Canidae. The record is from RefSeq and is a predicted model, not a curated record.
UUUAGGGUGGAAUGUUCUGAAUAUAUGUUAAAUCCAUCUGGCUCAGUAUGUCAUUCAAAGUCACUGUUUCCUUGUUGAUUUUCUUCUGAAUGAUGUAUCCAGUGAUGUCUCACUGAAAUCCUCCACUCAAGUCCAAUAGCUGAGAAUUUUAGAGGAAAAAAAGACUGGGACUUCAAAAUCACACAGAAGAGAUGCCUUCUAGAUAGAAAUCAGUAUUGUAAUAUUAGGCCAGUUUACAUAUGUAAAGUAUGAAUAAACAAAGAGCAAGAGGACAAAAAUAAGAUCCCUCCGAGGGAACAAACUAUCAGCGGGAGAUGAGACAUCCAGGGAAAAAGAAAAAUGGAGAACCUUCCUUCAAAUCAACUAGAUAUUUCAACACUGGUGGAGAACUCUUUCUAUGAGAUUGCUUGACAAAUUUGGCUUCUGCUUAUCUCCCUCCUGAGCUGAUUCGUUAGUUGCAGAAGGCUAGCUGAGGAUUCCAGAAUAAGUUGCAUUCCAAGUUAAGAGCUCAUAUUGAUGGAACAGGCCAAGGUGAACCGCAUACCUGACUAUAUCUUAUUAUAUGACUUUUCUUAUAAAGGGAAAGGUGGGCAGAAGGAGAAGGAGAAGGAGAGAAAAUCCCAAGCAGACUUCACCCACAAUUUUAAAUAAAAUCAUGAGAGACACAGAGAGAGAGGCAGAGACAUAGGCAGAGG